ACGGGAGGCAGCAGUGGGGAAUAUUGGACAAUGGGGGAAACCCUGAUCCAGCGACGCCGCGUGAGUGAAGAAGUAUUUCGGUAUGUAAAGCUCUAUUAGCAGGGAAGAUAAUGACGGUACCUGACUAAGAAGCCCCGGCUAACUACGUGCCAGCAGCCGCGGUAAUACGUAGGGGGCAAGCGUUAUCCGGAUUUACUGGGUGUAAAGGGAGCGUAGACGGUAUGGCAAGUCUGAUGUGAAAACCCGAGGCUCAACCAUGGGACUGCAUUGAAAACUGUCAAACUAGAGUGCAGGAGGGGUAAGCGGAAUUCCUAGUGUAGCGGUGAAAUGCGUAGAUAUUAGGAGGAACACCGGCGGCGAAGGCGGCUUACUGGACUGUAACUGACGUUGAGGCUCGAAAGUGCGGGGAUCGAACAGGAUUAGAUACCCUGGUA
RNAcentral lists this ribosomal RNA (434 nucleotides) under uncultured Lachnospiraceae bacterium. RNAcentral describes it as "partial 16S ribosomal RNA". It matches the Rfam family "Bacterial small subunit ribosomal RNA", at positions 341 to 792 of the family's 1533-position model. Lineage: Bacteria; Bacillati; Bacillota; Clostridia; Lachnospirales; Lachnospiraceae. The record is from RNAcentral.